Molecule: transfer RNA, 85 nt
Filed under: Solimonas sp. SE-A11
Lineage: Bacteria; Pseudomonadati; Pseudomonadota; Gammaproteobacteria; Nevskiales; Nevskiaceae
Description: tRNA-Leu
Rfam family: tRNA
About the family: Transfer RNA (tRNA) molecules are approximately 80 nucleotides in length. Their secondary structure includes four short double-helical elements and three loops (D, anti-codon, and T loops).
Source: RNAcentral
GCCCGUGUGGCGGAAUCGGUAGACGCACGAGACUUAAAAUCUUGCGCCGUGAGGCGUGCCGGUUCGAGUCCGGCCAUGGGCACCA